UGACGGUACCUGACUAAGAAGCUCCGGCUAAAUACGUGCCAGCAGCCGCGGUAAUACGUAUGGAGCAAGCGUUAUCCGGAUUUACUGGGUGUAAAGGGUGUGUAGGCGGCAUGGCAAGUCAGAAGUGAAAGACCGGGGCUCAACCCCGGGGCUGCUUUUGAAACUGUCGUGCUUGAGUCCAGGAGGGGCAAGCGGAAUUCCUAGUGUAGCGGUGAAAUGCGUAGAUAUUAGGAAGAACACCGGUGGCGAAGGCGGCUUGCUGGACUGGGACUGACGCUGAGGCACGAAAGCGUGGGGAGCAAACAGGAUUAUAUACCCUG
RNAcentral lists this ribosomal RNA (320 nucleotides) under uncultured bacterium. Its description in RNAcentral is "bacterial SSU rRNA". It matches the Rfam family "Bacterial small subunit ribosomal RNA", at positions 470 to 789 of the family's 1533-position model. The record is from RNAcentral.